AUGCGCUCAGUUCCAGCGGCGCCAGCGGCAGAUCGCCGCGGCAUAGACGCCGCCCGUGCAGACGCCUCCAAGCUCAAGACACUCCGGGACUACACUCAAGCCCGGGGUUUGUGCUUCAAGUGCGGCGAGCGGUGGGAGCAUGACCAUGUGUGCCCCACCACAGUCCAGCUACACGUCGUUGAAGAGUUGCUGGACAUCUUCGGCCUCGACAAUUUUGUCGACACACAACUGGGUCCUGACGAAGCAUCGCAAGACACAGCCAUGGCCAUUUCAGUUUCGGCUGUUACAGGAGGAGUUUCAGCAAAAUCCUUUCAACUCAGAGUGUGGCUGCAGGGGCAUGAGGUUCUAAUGCUGGUGGAUUCCGGCAGUUCCAACUCUUUCGUCAACGAGCAACUCGCAAGACAGCUUUCAGGAGUUCAAACCCUCCCCAAACCCAGCCGUGUCCGAGUUGCAGAUGGGGGUGAGCUGCUCUACAAGGAAGUAGCCACACAAUGCGCAUGGUACGCGCAGGGGAAUGAGUUCUAUACAGACUUGAAGGUUGACUGGCUAGAGGAACACAUCCCGAUGCUGGUUGACUGGCGCGCCCAUUUCAUUGAGAUACCUACACUAGCGGGUCCAUUGCGUCUCGUGGGACAUGACGCGUCUUCAACAAGUUGCCAGACCAUCAACAGCUUGCAACUGCAAAACCUGUGCAACAAAGGAUCUAUCACACAUGCCGUACACCUCUGUAUGGUAGCAUCGCAACCUGAGAUCUUGGAACAGACACCAGCAUGCAUCCAGGAAGUCUUGGACCAGUUUCCCGACGUAUUCGAUGAACCAAAGGGGCUCCCACCAAGGAGGGCAUGUGAUCAUCGCAUUCCGCUGAUUUUGGGAGCGCGACUAGUCAAUGUCAGGCAGUAUCGAUACAAACCUAAGCAGAAAACUGAGAUUGAAGCUCAGGUCGAGGCACUGCUGAAAUCAGGAGUGAUUCAGCGUAGUAACAACCCAUUUUCAUCCCCAUCCCGGUGA
This 1008-nucleotide ribosomal RNA is filed under the name Triticum aestivum (bread wheat). RNAcentral's name for it is "partial small subunit ribosomal RNA". Lineage: Eukaryota; Viridiplantae; Streptophyta; Magnoliopsida; Poales; Poaceae. The record is from RNAcentral.